CGUAAUAUUUAUAAAGCAGCGUGUUUCUUAAAUUUUCCAAACAAAUCACUCUAUUUACGUCGUUUCAAAGCCAUUAUUCGACCUUCUCUAAACUGCAGCGCGGGCACAGAAUUGUUCGAACACAACCAAACAUCGCCUAAUCAACAUUAACUUUAAAUUUUAAGCAAUAACCUAUUUCGUUCGAAAACAAUUGUCGUUAGAGUGCAUU
This is a non-coding RNA of Cinara cedri, 208 nucleotides long. The record is from the annotation of a GenBank genome assembly. Lineage: Eukaryota; Metazoa; Arthropoda; Insecta; Hemiptera; Aphididae.